This 27446-nucleotide long non-coding RNA is filed under the name Homo sapiens (human). RNAcentral's name for it is "HSALNT0312743". The stretch from base 10298 to 10486 matches the Rfam family "U2 spliceosomal RNA". The record is from RNAcentral. Lineage: Eukaryota; Metazoa; Chordata; Mammalia; Primates; Hominidae.
CUGAUGCCCUCCAUAUUCCGCUGCAUCUGAAUCUAGCACAAUUUUGAAUGUACAGCUCUUAAGGAAUUCACAACAGUUGAGGAGUUGAAUGAGACAUUGUAAAAUACGUGCUGAGAGAGCAAUUUAGAAGUGAGUUUUUGAGCAGUGUUAAAUCAUAAUUUGUGCUAAGAACUCAUUUCUUCUUUUAUAGUUUUAUGUCUGAAAGGGGCUUUAUAGGCUAUCUACUGCACACACUCAUGAGAUCCCUGUUAUACUUCCAUCACGACUCACAAGUGAUCACCCAGCCUGGGACGAAACAUACCUAAUCUACUUUUCUCUUCAAGCAACCCAUUCCACUUGUUAUAAAUUCUUCUCCAUAUUGAAUAGAAAUUUUGCUCCUUGAGAUUAUAUUAUUUCUACCAAGACAAGCCAUAAAGAAUAAGUUCAACAUGUAGUCAUCUUUUAAAUAUUUACUAAUAGUUAUACUAUCUCCAUGUGUCUGCUAGAUAUAUUACUAAAUACAUACAGUCAGUCCUCCAUAUCUGUGGAUUUUGCAUCUGUGAAUUGAAUCAAUUUCAGAUAAAAAAUAUUCAAAAAAGAAAUGCAUCAUUGCAUCUGUACUGAACAUCUGAUUUUUCACAAUAAGUUGUUAGAUAGUAUUAGCAUAUUACAGCAAAAUUAAUAAAAGCUAUCAUUAUGUUCAAAUUUAUUAGGCUCAAAAUGUCUAGAAAUGGUACUUGAUACAAAAAUCUAUAAUUAAAUAUGCAUUGGUACCUUAGAAAUCUUGUUUCUUCUAGCCUAAGUAGAAAUACAGAUAAUUUAAGUGCUUUUUGUUUUGAUUUCCUGGAAAAUAUAUCAUUAAUCUCAGAAAUGUUAGUAUAUUAUCAUUACUGCAAACAUUAUCACAUUAAUAGAAACUGUGAGCAAGGAACAAUGAGCCAUCAUUUUCAACCCUUGAAAAUCUUUGUCUAAGUCAGAGAUGAAGAUGGACACGCUACAGAAACUUUUUCUAGUAGUGUUGCCUCCAUUUUAGUCAAUCCAGGUCAGCCUUCUCUAAUUCAAACUGAAACUGAUAAUCAGAAUAUUACUGAGUUGAGAAAGAGAGAAAGACUGAGAUGCAAAUGAUGACUACCAGGCACAGGGACAUUUAAAGUCACUCAAUAUAGCUGAAAAUGAUUUCAGCCUACCAAUAUAUUUAAUGCUGAAAUAUGGAUAAUGAAAAUAAAUAAUCAAAGACAUGGCAAAUAAUGAAAUAUUGUGGAAUUUAAAAAAAACUAUUAACAUAGAAGUUUAGCUUUUGUUCUUCAAAAUACUUUGACAAAUCUUCCAAAAACUAAAACAGUACAGUUUAGAGAGUAAUGUUCUAGAAUACUUUAAAAAACAACUGAAUUAAAAUACCAAUUAAUGAAUUACUGGUUCACAACGUAGGCUUUUGAUAGCAGUGGCUAAGUAAGGCAAGCAUAUCAUCAAAAGCAAUGGUUCCCAACCUAGGUGUUAAGAAUCACUGACUGGUAGUCAUGUUAUUGUAAGUUCUCACUGAGUAAGUAGUUAUGUUAUUACAAGGGGUUGGGAAUCUAUAUAUGCAUUAGGCAUUGUCUAAAGACUAAACUAUGUUGUUAUACACGUUUGACACUGUAUUUCAAAGAACGUACAUGUUUUUACUAUUAAAAUGCAGAUUAUAUUGUUCCCUUCUUUGUGUCCAUGUUACUCAAUGUUUAGCUCACACUUGUAAGUGAGAACAUGAGGUAUUUGGUUUUCCGUCCCUGCGUUAAUUCAACACACACCAGGGCCUACUUGAGGGUAGAAGGCUGGGGGAGGGUGAGUAUGGAAAAACUACCCAUCAGGUACUAUGCUUAUUACCUGGGUGACAAAAAAAUCUGUGCACCAAACCCCAACAACAGGCAGUUUGCCCAGUAACAAACCUGCACAUGUACCCCCUGAACCUAAAAGUUAAAAAGAAAAAAGGAAAGAAACCAUUAGACCCAAACAUUUAAUGUGCCUUUUACACAACGAAUGAUCAAUUAUGGGAAUGUGACAAGACACAAGAGCUUGUGCCGGGGGCAGUAAAUUGUGGGAAAACAACGAGGAAAUAUAUGGGGGAAACUGAUGGAAGACAGGGGUUAUUUUAGUAGGUUUGUUUGUACAGGUCUGUUUCGGCAUGGCUUCCCAAUGUCUGGUGACGAGAAUGUCCUCCUAUUCCCGGCACAGGAAAGACAACUUUUUCACGGGCAAUUUUAUGAUUUGCUUUUAGGUAGAAAGGAGGGGAUCAAAGAGCUCUUUCUCCAUCUCUUGUUUCUCAAACAGCUUCAGCUCAAAAUAAUCAAUAAGCCAAAGUGGCAUAUUUUGGGGUAGCAUGUUCUGAACCCGUUCCUAACCAAAUUCAACUUCUCACUAAUAGUAGAGAUGAUUAUUUCCUCCUAUGAACACUUUCAUUUUAGUCACCUGAAUUACAAUUUUUAAAAUGUUAUAGGAAAAUUAUUUAAGGUUGCAAAACUAAAAGUAAGAAUUCCCUCAUUUACUUAGGGGCACUUUUUUUUUUUUUUUUUUUUUUUUUUUUUAAGACAGGGUCUGGCUGUCACCCAGGCUGCAGUGUAGUGGCACGAUCUUGCCUCACUGAAACCUCUGCCUCCCUGGGCUCAAGCAAUUUGUCCCACCUCAGCCUCUCAAGUAGUUGAGAUCACAGACACAGACACAUGCCACCAGACUGAUUUUUAUAUUUUUCGUAGAGAUGGGGUUUCACCAUGUUGCCCAGGCUGGUCUCGAACUCUUGAGCCCAAGCAAUCUGCCCACCUCGGCCUCUUAAAGUGCUGGGAUUAAUGAGCUACCAUGCCUGGAAUGCUUUUUUUUUUUUUUUCUCUUAAUAAAGGAGAAUGUUCUCAACAAAAUUAUUUCUCUGACACAGAAUUAAAUAAUAUUUAAUCGUUAUUUUCAAUGUUAUAGUAAAAUAAAAAUCAUGUGUCCAUCAUUUUACAUGCUUUUCCCACAAUAAAGUACAGACUGAGCUUCACACACCAAAAAAUGCAAUUUUAAAGUCACAAAAUUUAAUAGUUUUUGUGUAUACUUUUCUCAAUCAAAGGACAGUAAAAGAACAAUUGCUAUACAAGGAUUCAUUUCUCUUUGACACUGAAAGAGAUCAUCAUAUUGAAAGUGUUAGAAUCUACUUACUUUAUAUAAUUGGUAGCCAUAAAGGAAAAGCUUAUGAAAGCCAUAGAGAAAGUUUCAAAACAUCAAUUUAGACAUGUUUCUCUGGCCUAUAAUUUAAAGAAAAAAAUUUUCUGUGUCCAAUUGUGCAAUCACCCAGUUCUGUGUCUACAUUGCCCAGGGAACACAAUAGCUUCCUUUAGAAAAUGUGGCCUUUAAAAUCCAGAAAUUUCUACAAAUUUAAACACUAAGUGAAAGGUAAUGCGUGUGAAAGAGCUUUAUAAUUGUGAAUUGCUAUCAUAUAUUAUUCAAGUAUCAGGAAACUACAUGUUUUAGGAAUACUGCUUAGAAUUAGAACAAGCCUUUUCAAGCAGGUUAUUUGAGCAACUGAUUUGUUUGUUUUACACAUUCUCUCACUUGGGUACUCCCUCACUCUCUCUCAUGUGCACACACAUACACACAGAUGCACACAUAUGUACAUACAUGAUAUGGGACCCACACAGCACCACAAUUCCUACAUCAUCCUUUUUCUGUGAAAAUUUAUCUCUGAAAAUAUGACUCAAAGCCAAUGUAUACUUAUUUUAAACUACCUUCGUUAUAUGGUUUCCAAUACAUAGCACACAAAAUAAAUUUAGCAGGACACCUUAAAAGGUCAUCUGUUAUCCAUAGCUACCUCCCUAUGCCUAGCAGAGGACCUUCUCCUAAUAGGUUCCCAAUUUCCCAAUAAAACUUUGAAACUGAUAUUCAGAAUGACAACACUGACUUACCAAGAAAAGCCAAAUUACAUAUAUUGUUUUUUAUAAUUGAGGAAAGUACAAUAAAUUAUCUUUACUCCCCCAUUCAUUUACUAAGUACAUACAAUGUACAAGAUAUUGUGCAAGAAACAAAAAUAAGGAAGACAUGGUCUUCAUGUACAUGUGACUCACAGCCUGUAAAGGGAGAUUAGGCAUGCAUAUGAACAUGCGUAAAUAGAGCAAAAAGCAAUAUGCAAUGAGAGGGAGAGUCAAGGAAGAAAAAUAUGAGGGACGAGCCAUAUAUGAAGACUUUUGAAGGCUGGGUUAGGGUCUUAAGACUUAUUUUAUUAGUUAAGUGUGAUAGUGUUUAAAAUUCUUGAGAAAGUGUAUCACAAUAAAAAAAAAAUUAACCCGGAGGUUGUAAACAGUAUAAAACAGACGGCGGAAAGACUAAGUCGGGAAAAGCAGUCAGGAGUCUAACAACAGUCCAAGGAUAGUUAAGUAUGGCUAAUCUCUGACUGUGGGAAAGGAGAGACAUAGACUGAGUUUCAGAAGUACAAGUGACAGUAUUCAAAAGUAAGGAAACUGAGACUGAAUUAGGGAAUCAGAAGUGGAAGGGAAGAGCAGUUGUGCCCAAAGGCAGACAGCUUGUUAAGUGGUAGAGUUGGGAGGUGCGCGUAAGUCAAAUGUAGAUCUGAUUACUUUACUCUCUAUAUGCGGCACCAAUUUUAUGCCAAGAAUACGGCAGUGUUUUCAUAUACAGUUUCUUGUUUAUUUCUCAGGUUGAAAUUCUUCAUAUUGUUAUAUUUGAGAUAAUUCAUAAAGGAAAGAGGUUUAUUUUGGCUCACAGUUCUGCAGACCAUACAUAUAGGAAGCAUGGUGCUGGCAUCUGCUUUUGGUGAGGGCCUUAAGAAGCUUACACUCAUGGCAGAAGGAGAAGGGGUCCAGGAAUGUCACAUGGCAAGCAAGGGAGCAAGAGAGAGCAAGGAGGAGGAGUGAAGCUCCUUUAAGCAACCAGCUCUCAUGUGAGUGAGAAGUCACUUGUUACCAUGGGGAGGGCAUCAAGCCAUUCAUGAAGAAUCCUCCCUCGUGUCCCAAACACCUCUACCAGGCCCCACCUCCAACACUGGGAAUCACAUUUCAACAUGAGAUCUUAAGGGGACAAAUAUCCAAAACAUAUCACAUUCCAAGCAUAAAGAGGACAGAAUGAAAAUGACAAGAGAAGAAUAAAAAUAGAAAAAUCAGAUAAAAUGAUAUCCAUCUAAAUUACUGACAUAAUUAGAUAUACAAGAUUGCCAUUCCUAAAAGUAAUGUUGAGGUCUGAAUAUCUGAGAUUUACUAUACUUGUUCUAGUCCAUUUCUUAUUUGGUCCAUUUGAUCAUUUUAUUAGUAAAUACAAAACACUGGAUCAUAAAAUUUACCUUGUUCAACUGGAAAAAAAUACAGUGGGAAAAGAAUGAAAAUUUUUUAAUAGUUUUUUUUUUUAAAGGAGAUCAAAUAGGUCCCUAUCAGUUUGGAUAGCAUUUUAAAAUAUUAUGAUUUCUUAUUUUAAAUUCAAGAGCUUCCUAAGUAUUUGAUAUAUCUAUCAACAGGUUGAAGUAGAUAAGUUUUCAGCCAUUAUUUUAUAAUCCAUGUCCUUAAAUUUGAACCAAGGAAGAGCCAGUGUUCUGAAGGAGGCCUGUACUAAUAAGAUUAAAGAACAGUGAAGGCAUGAAGACUCUUAAAUUCAAUGGCUCUUCAAAUACUUCAAAAGCUGCUGUGUUUGCUCAGGCACUUGAUAAAGUGUCUGUUCAAAGUAUAAGGAUUUUGAUGUAAGAAGUACUAUCAUUUAUAUCAUUCUGCACUAAACUCACUUCACUCCCACUGAUGAAGCUAAGGAAAUUUAUUGUAAGGUACAACCCUUGAGGUUUCAAAUUGAGUGACAAAAAGAAGAGUUCUCCAGUGACUAGACGACUAUAACGAUGGCAGAGCGGGUAAGUUACAAUGUAUCUUCAAAUCUAAGACAUCACCCAUUUCAAGAUGAAUUAUUUUAUAUAUCUCUAAUAAAGUGAAAAAAUAUCACUACCACAUCAAUAUUGUAAGAUACAUUCCAACUGAAGACAGGCUAAAAUGUGAAAUAAUGUAGGUUUUUGGAAUAUGAAUUUAGCAUGUUAUUUUAUAUUUAAUUCUUUAAUCAAUCCAUUCAUAUUACCAUGAUUAAAAUAAUGCCCAGGAGCUAAGUGACCCCAGGAAAGAGAAUUUAUACCGAAGGCAGAAAAUAUCAGGUUCAAAAUUCUAAGGAAUGUUUUAAUUAAUGGAAAUGUAAACAAAUGUCUGGUAGGGUAAGAACAGUUGCUGAAAAGCAAGGAGAGUUUCAUGAUUUUAGUAGUCUGAAGAGAUCUAUACAGCACAGGGCUUGCCACAAUGUUCCAACACAAUCCUUCCCUUUUUAUGUUACAUGGAUUGAAUUUUAUUUAUUGCUGGUUGUACUCCAGAAAACCUAAGGUUAUAGCUAUCUAGCAUCUCAAAUAGAUCUGUCCAUUUAUUUUAUAAACAUAGCCAAAUUAUGCCUACUUUAUUGUCCUGAAUCACAGAAAAGGCUAUGAACUACAACUUUCAGUUUCUUUCUCUAGUCUCUUUCCAAAUGCAGGAGUGGCAAAGACUUGUGAUAUAUUACUACAUAGAUAAUGUGCAGGUCUGUUAGUGUGUGGUGGAGGGGUGUCGUGGUCGGGGGGUGUGUGUCUAUGUGUGUGUGUAUUUGUGUAUCUUAUUUAGGUAAUUCUAUCUUUACUUCUGUGAUCUAGAGUACACAUUAAACUUAAGCAGUCAUCAUUAAAAAUGACAGUUCUGCUAGCUAGCCAUUUGUAGAAGACUGAAACUGGACCCUCCCUUACACCAUAUACAAAAAUUAACUCAAGAUGGAUUAAAGACUUAAAUCUAAAGCCAAAACUAUAAAAACCCUGAAAGACACCCUAGGCAAUACCAUUCAGGACACAGGCGAGGGCAAAGAUUUCAUGACGAAGACACUAAAAGCAAAAACUGACAGAUGGGAUCUAAUUAAACUAGGGAGAUUUUGCACAGAAAAAGAAAUUAUCAACAGGGUAAAUGGACAACCUACAGAAUGAGAGACAAUUUUUGCAAACUAUGCAUCUGACAAAGUUCUAAUAUUCAGCAUCUAUAAGGAACUCAAAUUUACAAGGAAAAAAACAAACACACCAACAAAAAAGUAGGCAAAGGACAUGAACAGACACUUUUCAAAAGAAGAUAUACAAGCAGCCAACAAUCAUACGAAAUAAAGCUCAACAUCACUGAUCCCUAGAGGAAUGCAAAACUACAAAGAGACACCAUCUCACACCAGGCAGAAGGGCUAUUAUUAAAAAGUCAAAAAAUAACAGAUGCUGGCGAGAUUGUGGAGAAGAAGGAACACUUAAACACCAUUAGUAGGAAAGAUAUAUUCCUACCAAUAAAUUAGUUUGAACAUUGUGGAAGACAGUGUGGUGAUUACUCAAAGACCUAAAGACAGAAAUACGAUUUAACCUAGCAAUCUCGUUACAGGGUACAUACUCAAAGGAAAAUAAUUCAGUCUAUUAUAAAGACACAUGCAGGCACAUGUUCACUGCAGCACUAUUCACAAUGGAAAAAUCAGGUAAUAAACCUAAAUGUCCACCAAUGACAGACUAGAUAAAGAAAAUGUGGUACACAUACACCAUGGAAUGCUAUGCAGCUAUUAAAAAGCAUGAGAUCAUGUUCUUUGCAGGGACAUGAAUGGAGCUGGAGGCCAUUAUCCUUAGCAAACUAACACAGAAACGGAAAACCAAAUACUGCAUGUUCUCACUUAAGCAGAGCUAAAUAAGGAGAACACAUGGAUGCAUAAAGAGGAACGACACACUCUGGGGCCUACCAGAGGGUGGAGGGUGGGAGGAGGGAAGAGGAUCAGGAAAAACAACUAAUGGGUACUAGGCUUAAUAUGUUGGUGAUGAAAUAAUCUGUACAAUGAACCCCCAUGACACAAGUUUACCUAUAUGACAAACCUGCACUUGUACUCCUGAACUUAAAACAUAAGUCAAAAAAAAAUGAGAGUUCUGAUAUUUUAAUUACUUUUCAAAACUAUUUAUGGCCAUGUGACCUUUAUGAUUAUAUUUCUUUCAAUGGAAUAUCCAGUUAGUUUUUUUUUUAAUCUCCCUGACUUUAGCUUUUAAAAAUCCCCCAAUAUUAUAAUAUUUCUAAAAUAAAAUUUAUAAGAAAGUAAUGUGGAAUUAAACAGAGAACUUGCCCGGGCGCAGUGGCUCACGCCUGUAAUUCCAGCACUUUGGGAGGCCGAGGCGGGCAGAUCACGAGGUCAGGAGAUCGAGACCAUCCUGGCUAACACUGUGAAACCCUGUCUCUACUAAAAAUACAAAAAAUUAGCCAGGUGUGGUGGCGGGCACCUGUAGUCCCAGCUACUUGGGAGGCUGAGGCAGGAGAAUGGCGUGAACCUGGGAGGUGGAGCUUGCAGUGAGCCAGGAUUGCACCACUACACUCCAGCCUGGGUGACAGAGCAAGACUCCGUCUCAAAAACAAACAAACAAAAAAACAGAGAACUUACUAGCGAAUGUAAUCAAAGCAAAUUUUAAAAUAUAAAAAAGCCAAAUGCAACUUUUUUCUUUAUACAUAUAUGUGUGUGUGUAUAUAUAUAUGUGUAUAUAUAUAUAUUUGUUGUUAUUAGAUUACCUUAAAAUUUUAAUGACCUUGAAAAAAGCAAGAUCUUCAUGCAUAAGCUAAAUAUGCAUUCAAAUGUGUGAACACUGUCUUCGUUAAAAGUUUAAAUGACAACCGUACAUUUUAAUUAAGUGCAAAACAGAAGCAUAUUUCUAUUAUAGUCUAGGAUGUGCUCAUUUCUUCAACAAAAGGUUUCUGGUUUUACACUACAAAAUAAACUCCAAUCCCUGCAAGUAUGCUUCUUCGGCCAUACAUUUUUAGAAACUGUACAAUGCAAAAUAGCAAUAAGACAAGCUCAAAGGAUGAGGGGCUCAAAUGUCACUAUCUACCAGGUUAAUUAUUGGAUUACUAUGCUUUCUGAAAUGUAUUUUCAUGCAAAUUAUUAGUUUAUUUUUAAGCAUGCUUAAUGACACACAUCAGUAAAUAGCAAAUCAAAUGGUAAUACAAAAUUUUGAGUACUACCUAUUUCUCUAUGUAAAUAGGACAUUUAUUCUAAAUACUUUACGGAAUACUUCUGACUAACCUACUUAGAAACUUUUCUGUAUCCUAGAAGAUUAUAUAACUUAAACUAAAAAAUGUCACUGUUUCUCAAUAAUUUGAGAAGGAAGAAAAAUAGAAAAAUGUGCUCACACUUCUGCACUAACCUCUCCCUAAAACUGCUGCUGUCUGUCUGUGCCUUUAGGAUUAUCCAAAGAACUUGUAAAUUCAAUUAUCUGAUGAAGCGAUGGCAAUUAUUUAAAACUGAAAAAGAAAAAAAUAACAGAUUUUUAUUCACCUUUUUAACCACAUCUUUUAUUAUCAAAAUGAGUUUACACCCUGCAGACUCAACACUUUUUUUAAAAAAAAUUGUGCUUUUAAACUCAAAAUAAUUUUGAUUCAGGCUAUAAACACCUUCCCCCAAACAAACUUACUCUGGGAACAGCCUUCAAUGCAGUCAAGUGCAAUAUAGCUAAAUAAAAACAUAAUUGGAAACGGGGACGUCUCUGAAAAAUAAAGACAAUCAUAAGCAGUAAGAAAGCAUUAUCUGAGCCAUUUCAGGCAGAAAGACAGGGAUAGGAGACAGCAUUCUAAAACACUAAAAUAUGGUGAGUAUCUCCAUGAGCUUUAGGGUCUAACAACUGCAUUCUAAUUCCAGUCCUACCAAUUGCUAACUGUGUGUCUCUGAGUAAGUUACUUACUUCCUGGAGGCUCAGUCUCUCAUCUGUAAAUGGAGGUAACACAUCAGAGGGUGGGUGUAGAGAUUAACUGAAGCAAUCUAUUACUGAGUGCUUAACACCCUAUGUAGCACUGGGAAAAGUACUCAAAUUACUAGCUGCUGUGGCUAUUAUUACUAUAGACCCUGGCUCACUUAAAUUGCUGUCUCAAGAGAUGAAAAAUAUAAAAGUGGGUCUAUUAAUUCUUUAUUUUACUUUUUAUACUUGACUUGGCCUCUUCUUCCUUUAUGAUCUUUAUUUCUAUUCCUCUUUCUCUGUGUCUUUGUUCUCACUAGAAUUUGCUAUUUAAAAAUUUUUACAUUAAAGUUUAAUCAUACAGUACAUAGAACUCUUUGAGGACUAGAGUCUUUUUUUAAAUUUUAGGGUUUGUCUUUUUUUUUUUUUUUUUAUAAAAAAGAAGGUACUUCUCAAGUUUAUGAGAAAUACUGAGAGAGCUUUUGGUGACAAUCCUACCUGAAAAUUAAAUACCUACACACACUCUCCUGCACCUGCCUUGAUUUUUCACCAUAGUAUUAUCAGCUUUUAACAUAUUAUAAAUUUAAUUAUUACAUUUUUGCUUCUCAGCCUUUUGGCUAAGAUCAAGUGUAGUAUCUGUUCUUAUCAGUUGAAUUUUUGUCUCUCACUAUUAAAAUACAAUCUAUAUAAGAAAUUCCUUUUUUUUCUCUGCCAUAUAGGACCUAGAUUAGAAUCUGGCAUUUGAGUGAGUGUCUUUUCAUUAUUUUCCUUUGCAGUCUCCUCCUUGGGUUUUAAUUUUUAAUCUAUGCAUGUUUUUGCUAAACUUUGAGAAAUAAUUUCAUACUACUUUGGUCAUCAAAGACCAAACUUGAAUUUUUCCCUUUGUUUCACAGAGUUAACAUGUAAGAUCUGUAUAAAUAUAACUUCUAUCACAAUUCCAUUUCAUUAUCUAUAAAGUUUAACUUAGACAUUUUAAAAGAUUUCAUAUUCUUUAUAAAUUUAUAACAGAAUAUUUAUAAUAUAAAAAUCCUUCAUUUUGGAUAAUUUAUAAUAAAUGCAUGUUAGUUGGAAGCAAUUAAUUCUCAAGUUAACUAUUCUGAUUGGUAUGAGCCUUGAAGAGAAACAUUUUAUAUAAUUCUUAGUUGACAUGGAUACAUGAUUCCAGGUUUAUUCAAGUCAGCACAAACUCAAAGACUUUCCAUAUCUACUUUACUGGUUAGCUUUCUCUAUAAAAAUGACUGAACUUAAGCACAGAACAUCAAAGGGGUUUGUCAAAAUAAUAUAUCUAAUAUUUUGGCAGGGCCAGAAUAUGCUCUUAGGUAUAACAGUUUCUACCACUCUACCACCAUCUUGCAGAUAAAGCCUGCAAAGUGCAUAAACUUUAAUAUAUUUAAAAUCUGGAAAUCUGAUUAUUUUAGCUGUGGUGGUAGAAACAUAAUUUUUCUUUAUUUGAAGUCUUAACUUACUUGGCGUAACAUAUAGUUAAUGUAUAGUCCUCUUUCUCUUUUAAGACUAGAUAGAAAAUCACAGUACAGGUCUCACUCAGUGCUUUAGAAAGCCGAAGAACAGGGGCUAAACUAGUGUCCCAUGAAAAACUGUAAAGCAAAGCUUGCAGGUGUGCAUAUCUGCAUCAUCACUUCAGUCUUUCCUGAGCACUUCUGGGCACAUAGCCCAUAACUACAUCAGAUUAAUUAUUGUGAGGAGAAAGAUUCAAAGUAAACAUUUCCCCAUAUGCAUUUAAAAAAUUGGGUACAUUUUAUACUGUUUGGGUGAUGGGUGCACCAAAAUCUCAAUCACCACUAAAGAACUUACUCAUGUAACCAAACACCACCUGUUCCCCAAAAACCUAUGGAAAUAAAAAAUAAAAAAUAAGCAAAGGGAGUUUUAAACACACAUGCACGGGGAUAUUUUAUACAAACUUUCAGUUAUAAGAUGAAUAAGUUCUGAAGCUGUAAUGUACAAUACAGUGACUACAGUUAAUAAUGUGUUAUAUACUUGAAAUCUGCUGAGAGCUGACCGUAAGCAUUCUCACACACACACAAGAAAAUGGUCACUAUGUGAGGUGAGGAAUAUGUUAAUUAGCUUGAUUGUAGUAACCAUCUCACAAGGUAUAUGUAUAUCAAAACAUCACACUGUACUUUAAAUAUAGAUAAUUUUUAUUUAUCAGUUAUGCUUUAAAACAAAAAUAAACAAUGGGGAAAGGACUCCCUAUUUAAUAAAUGGUGCUGGGUAAUUGACUAGUCAUAUGAAGAAGAAUGAUAGUAGACCUCGACCUUUCACCAUAUACAAAAAUUAACUCAAGAUGGACAAAAGAUUUAAAUGUAAGAACUCAAACUAUAAAAACCCUAGAAGAAAACCUAGGAAAUACCUUUCUUGACAUCAGUCUUUGCAAACAAUUUAUGGCUAACUCAUCAAAAGCAACUGAAACAAAAACAAAAAUUGACAAGUGGGACUUAAACUAAAGAGCUUCUGAACAGCAAAAGAAACAAUCAACAGAGUAAACAGACAACAUACAGAAUGGGAGAAAAUAUUUGCAAGUUAUGAAUCUGACAAAUGUUUAAUAUCCAGAGUCUUAUGGAAUUCAUAAGGAACUUAAACACUCAACAAGCGAAAACCAAAUAACCCCAUUAGAAAAUGGGCAAAAGACAUGACCAGACACUUCUUACAAGAAGACAUACAAGCGUUCACCAAACACAUGAAAAAAAUGCUCAACAUCACUAAUUAUUAGAGAAAUGCACGUCAAAACCACAAUGAGAGACCGUUUUACACCAGACACAAUGGCUAUUAUUAAAAAGUCAAAAAACAACAGAUGCUGACAAGGCUGCAGAGAAAAGGGAACACUUAUAUACUGUUGGUGGGAAGUAAAUUAGUUCAGCUCCCGUGUAAAGCAGCUUGUAAAUGUCUCAAAUAACUGAAAACAGAACUACCAUUCAACCCAACAAUCUCACUACCGGCUACAUAUCCAAAGGAAAAUAAAUUGUCCUACAAGAAAAAAAAAAAAAAGACAUAUGCACUUGUAUGUUUAUCACAAUACGAUUUACAAUAGGAAAGGCAGGGAAUCAACGUAGGUGCCCAUGAAUGGUGGAUUGGAUAAAGAAAAUGUGGUAUAUGUAUGCCAUGGAAUGCUACACAGCCAUUGAAAAGAUGAAACCAUAUCUUUUGCAGCAACAUGGAUGUAGCUAGAGGUCAUUAUCUUAAGUGAAUUAACACAGGAACAGAAAACCAAAUACUGCAUGUUCUCACUUAUAAGUGGGAGCUAAACAUUGGGUACACAUGAACAUAAAGAUGGAAACAAUAGAUACUGGGGAUUACUAGAGCCGGGAGAGUGGGAUGGAGGCAGUGUCUGAAAAAAUACCUACUGGGUGCUAUGCUCACUACCUGGCUGAUAGGAUCAUUCACAACCCAAAACUUCGCAACACACAAACAAAAACAAAAGCAAGCAAACAAAAGAACCUCAUGUAACAAACCUGUACAUGUAUGCUAUGAAUCUAAAUAAAAGUAGAACUUAAAAAGAUAUAUAUACAUACAGCUGGAAAAAAUUUUUCCACUAACAUUCAUCUGUGCUUUUGAGUGUCAGAAACCAGGAUGGUAUUACCCUGCAGAAAAACAUUUAGUCAAAGGCAUCAUUAACCUCUACAAAUAUAAAUAGAGAAAAAAACCAAAAUUAGUGAGACACACUUCAUGUACUUCAAUGGCAUUUCUAGAGGGCAACAAAAAGAUGAAUUAUCUGGUGACCAAAUGUAAAACUGUACUGAAUUUAGAGAAACUAGAUUUAAAUCACAUUUAUUCAAUGACUAGAAAUACGACCUUGUGAAAAUUAUAAAUCUUUCUGAUCCUCACAUGUAGAUUGAGGACAAAAAAUGCUUGCCUAACCAGUAUCACUGGAGAUGAUGUGAGGAUAAGAUGGGUUAAUGUAAGUAAAAGUAUUCGCAUAUUGUAAAUUGCCAUGCAAAUUUAACUUUUGGUACUAAUUUUGAUCUCUUAAAAUAAGCUUGUAUUUCAGACACAUGAUUCAUACGACUAAUUAAAUUCUCAUAAAAAUUGAAAAAAAAUAAGCUUAUAUAUAUCUUAACCCAAGUAAUUUUGUUUAAUUUGAAUGGGCUGAGCUAGGUUAUACUAGAGUUUUUCAGUUUCAAAAAUUUAUAAUUCCAUGCUGCCCAGUUUUGCCUAACAGUCAUUAAACAUCACAAAAUUGCCCACUGCUUGGUGAAUAGGGCAUAGGUCAAGGUGGGGAGAAUCAUUAGGGAACAUCUUCAUAGAGCUGAUAGCUGAAGGGUGGGUGAAUUUUUCAGGGAAAAGUGCAAGAAAAAUGAAUAAAUGGAUUUAGAUCUUAAAAAAGAUAACAUGAAGAAUAGGUGGAAAGAAAAAGAAAUCAAGACAGUGCUGCAGGAUACAGAGAAAGGGAAAUAAGAAAGAAAGGUGGGCAAAUAGUACAAGAGUGAGGAAGAGAUUUAACAGGGAACAGAAGAGUUUCAAUUCCAGUACUGCGAAAGGACUGAAAGGAAUCACUGUGUCGUGGUGAAAUGGGAACUAGGACAUGCGAAAAAACAAAAAUCAAAAAACAAAACACUAUGUGCUAGAGGGCAAAGAGUUGGAGUUCUGUCUUAGGAAAAUCAAGGCCCGGAAAGGCAAAUAUAUCCUCGUUUUGUCUUCACCCAUGUAAUAAAGGUGUUUAUUGUUUUGUUCCCCCAAAAAAAAAACAAAAAACAAAAAGUAGGACAAUAGAAAAAAGACAACAGACAGGAUUAGUACCUAUUUGUCUUUCUUUUUUAUAAAAAUUCAUUUUUAUUAUAAAGUUUCUAAUGCAUUUUUAGAAGAUGAUGACAGUAAGGAUGUCCAUUACCCUUACUACUUGCUAAGCUCAAACGUGGGCGACACUGUUGUUAAGCCUUGCAUGCAUGUUAACUAAUCAUGAACUAAUUUAAUUCUGACAACAAUUCUAUGAAUAGGUGUUCUAGAGAUAAUAACCAAGAAACAAAGAGGCUAUUUUCAAAACAAAACUAAGUGGCAGAGAUGGAACUUGAACCUCAGAUAGUCAAUAUUCUAGAGCUCAAGCUAACCACUAUCCUUGCAAUGAGAGCAAAUUUCUUUAUGUUUACAAAUAUAAGAACAAGAAAUACCUAUUACCUCUGGAGACCUUUGUUACAUGAGCCAAUGGGAAAUAAAAAUGUUAGAAGUAGAGAACAAACUGAAGAAAAUAAUGUUUCAGAAUUAGAAAAUAAUGCUACUACAGGAGAAAAUUGUUUUUCCUUUGUUUUCUUCAGCUGGCAAAAAGGACAGAUGUUAAUAGGGAGGCUGGCAAAGUGAAAAUUGGCUCUCUCUCUAAAUAAUAAAGAACACAUGAGAAAAAAAAACCCAGUAAUGUUUAUAAUUUUACAUACAAACAUAAUAAUUUUUCAUUUUAAUUAAUGUUCUUGAAAUAAAAUGAUCAUUGUGUGACAAUAAAACGUACUGAGUGUAAUCAUUUCAUUCAGUUAUAUGUUAAUUAAAUAAUUUUAUUUGAUAUUAUCUAAACACUUUCCUUAUUCAACAGCUGAUACCACAUAACUACAAAAAAUAACCAUAAUUAAUUUUGUAAAUUAAUGCUUAUUUAUAGGAAUUAAUUAGGCAUUUUCCCAUCAUUAGGCCAACAGAAACUACAUUAAUAGAAUUAGAGAUGGUUCUUAUGCAUGAUUACAACUGAAUCCACUGCUUCCAAGAACACACUGUUUUUGGCUCUAAUAUUUCCAACUUUCUCUGAGAAACAGAAACUUCUUUUGGUUGCAGCUUUCAAAAAUGCUUAGGAGCCCGUAGGUAAUUUUAGCGAGCCAGUAAUUAUAUCACAUCUUAAUUUUAAGAAAUCAUCUGGGAUACUCAGGUAAUACUUUUAUGUAAAUAAAACACUGACCACUCAGUUUGAUCCUGUGAGAUUCUGAUUAAGAAGAGCUUCACGGAAAAUGUCAGAAACACGAAUAAUAUCUCACGUAGGCAGGCAGGAGAUACUCAUUGAAAAAGGUAAUUUCUACUGGCCAGAAGGAAAAGUAAUAUAACAUCCAUGUCAUAAAUUUAGUUUAGACAUAGAAUGCUCUAUUUAAAACACACUGGUAUCAGGUAUAAAGAUGACUAAUACAAUUUAUUUUUUAAAUAGAAAAAAAAACAUAUAUUUUGGAUAAAUUAAGUAAAGCCUAACUUUAAAAGGAAAGGCUCAAUGUGAAAUCUUUCAGGCCAAUGAUACUACUGCACCAGCAUAGCUCAUUUUAUCGCACUUUAUUGCACUUUACAAAUACACAUUUUUACAAAUUGAAGAUUUGUAGCAACGCUGCAUCCAGCAAGUGUAUUCGUGCCAUUUUCCAAUAGCAUGUGUUCACUUUGUGUCUCUGUGUCACAUUUUGGUAGUUCUUGCAUUAUUUCAAACUUUUUCAUUAUUAAUAUAUAUUAAUAUAUGAUUGUCUAUUCAUAAUUAUAUUAUUUUUACAUUAUCAUUAUGUCUAUGAUGAUGAUCUGUGACCAGUGAUCCUUGUUACUAUUGUAAUUGUUUUGGGGCACCACAAAUCAUGCACAUAUGCAACCACAAACUUAAUAAAUGUGUGUGUUGACUCCUCCAACCUACUGGCCGUUCCCUUGUCUCUUCCCCUUUUCUUGGGCCUCCGUAUUGUCUAAGACCAUAUAGAAUUUAGCCCAAUUAAUAACCCUACAAUAGCCUCUAGGAGUUCAAAUGAAAAGAAGAGGGGCAUGUCUCUCACUUUAAAUCAAAAACUAGAAAUGAUUAAGCUUAGUGAGAAAGGCAUGUUCAAAGUUGAGACAGGACAAAGGCUAGGUCCCUUAUGCCAAAGAGUUAGCCAAGUUGUGAACGCAAAGGAAAAGUUCUUCAAAGAAAUAAGAAGUGCUACUCUAGUGAACGCAUGAGUGAUAGGACAGUGAACACCAGCCUACUGCUGAUAGGAAGAAGUUUUUGGUGGUCUGGAUCUAAGAUCAAACUAGCCACAACAUUCCCAUAAGUCAAAGCCUAAUCCAGCAAGGCCCUAGCUCUCUUCAAUUCUAUGAAGGCUGGGAGAGGUGAGGAAGCUGCAGAAGAAAAGUUUAAAGCUAGGAGAGACUGGUUCUUAAGGUUUAAGGAAUAAAGACAUCUUCAUAACAUAAAAUUUUAAGGUGAAGUAGCAAGUGCUGAUGUAGAAGCUGUAGCAAGUUUUCCAGAAGAUCUAGCUAGGAUAUUGAUAAACGUGACUACACUAAACAAUGGAUUUUCAGUGUAGAUGAAGCAGGCUUCCAUUGAAAGAUGCCAUCUGGGACUUUCAUAACUACUGGGAAGACAGUAUCUGGUUUCAAAGUUCCAAAGAACAGGAUGACUCUCUUGUUAUGGGCUAAUGCAGCUGGUGACUUUGAGUUGAAGCCAAUGUUCAUUUACUGUUUCCAAAAACCUAUGCCCUUAUGAAUUAUGCUAAAGUCUACUCUGCUUGUGCUCUAUAAAUGUAACCACAAAGCCUGGAUGACAGCAUGUCUGUUUACAGCAUGGUUUACUGAGCCUGUAAGCCCAAGCUUGAGACCUAUUUCUCAGAAAAAAGAUUCCUUUCAAAUAUUACCUGAUUGAUGAAAGCAUCUGGUCACCCAAGAGCUCUGACUGAGAUGUACAAGGAAAUUAAUGUUGUUUUCAAGCCAUCUAAUACAACAUGCACUCUGCACCCUAUGGAUCAAGAAGUAAUUUCAACUUUCAACUCUUAUUAAGAAAUAUAUUUUGUAAGACUAUAGCUGUCAUAAGCAGUGAUUCCUCUAAUGAAUCUCGGCAAAGCAAAUUGAAAAUCUUCUGGAAAGGAUUCACCAUUCUAGAUGCCAUUAAGAACAUUUGUGAUUCAUGGGAGGAGGUUAAAAUAUCAACACAAUAGGAGUUUGGAAGAAGUUAAUUCCAACUCUCAUAGAUGACUUUGAGAAACUCAAGACUUCAGUGGAAGAACUAACUGCAGAUGCAGUGGAAAUUGAAAGAUAACUAGAAUUAGAAGUGAAACCUAAAGACGUGACUGAAUUGCUGCAGUCUCGUGAUAAAACUUUAAUGGAUGAGGAAUUGCUUCUUACAGAUGAGCAAAGAAUAUGGUUUCUUGAGAUGGAGUCUAUUACUGAUGAAGAUGCCAGAGAUGGCAACAAAUGAUUUGGAAUAUAAUAUAAACCUAGGUAAUCUUUAUCAACUAAGUGGUGGGGUUUCAGAGGAUUCACUCUAAUUUUGAAAGAGUUCUACUGUGGGUAAAAUGUUACCAAACAGCAUCACAUGUUACAGAGAAAUCUUUCAUAAAAGGAAGAGUCAAUCCAUGUAAUAAACUUCAUUGUUGUCUUAGCCACCACAACCUUUAGAAACCCCACCCUGAUCAGUCAGGAGCCAUUAACAUCAAGGCAAGAGCCUCCAUGAGCAAAAAGAUUAUUACUUACAGAAGGCUCAGAUGACCAUUAACAUCUUUUAGCAUACAGUAUUUUUAAAUUAUGGCAUGUACAUUUUUUUUUAGACAUAAGGCUAUUGCACACUUAUUAGACUACAGUAUAGUAUAAACAUAACUUCUAUAUGUAUUGUGAACCAAAAAAUUUGUGUGACUUGCUAUAUUGCAAUAUUUGCUUUAUUCCAGUGGUCUGGAACCCAAUCUGCACUGUCUCCAAGUUAUGCCUGUAGAUUGCCUUCUUCCAUAUUUGCAGUCUAGGAAAAGAAAUGGUUAGCUAAUGUGGUAAUGAGUAUAAAAUACUUUCAGAGUGCAGGACAUAUAUUAAGUUUAUAAGAGACAGUAGAUCUUAUUAUGAAGAUCUGCUCAGCAAGCACAUCAUAGUAUAAUAAUAUAUUAAUUGUGAAUUCUACAAAAUUAUGAUGUAUUUUAUUGAUAAUAGCUUAUCAAUUUUUAUACCAUUUAAUUAAAUUACUGUUUUAAGGGAGAAGCAAAUCAUUUUAGUACUAUUUGUCUUUUAAUUACAUAAUUUUAAACCUUCAGGAGUUAUUUCACCACUAGGUAGCUACAUACUCCAUUUAUCCAUCCAUCCUUCCAUCUGUCAGUCAGUCUAUCAGUUCAUCAACCCCUCUAUCCAUACUCCUAUCAGAGAUUUAGCUCUCUGUUUACAGGUACCUAGUGUAUUCUAAGUAAACAUAUCAUUGUUGAUAUAUAGGUAAUACUCUGUCUUAUCAUCCAUCUCGAAGUUUACAAACACAUAAUAGUAUCUCCUUUUUAAAAAUUGAUGAAAAUGAUCACCUUGGGCACAAAUGUUCCUCCCCCCCAAACCCCAAUGAAGGAUACUAUUACUAGGUGAUUAUGCACUGUCUUCUUUAAAGGUUAUGACAAUAUUUCUGAUAUAUUUUUCCUCCAGAAGGGCAAGAAAUAGAAGACAGAAAUUUUGACUGGGCUAUUGUUAGAUGACUUUCUGAAGUGAAGAGACCAUCAUUGCACAACUGAGCUAUGAAACAAAAAAACCAGAACUGCUGUUAAAUAUUUGACAGCACCGUGAUGGCUAUUCAAAACAACAGGCCCCUGGUCCCCCUUCAAGAAAAAACCCCAAAACUAAAUACAUUCGUGUGCAGUAAGGACUUGCUCACUAUUCAUUACUGCCUAUAAUCUUAUGAAUAUAUAUUAAGGCAAUCUAAAAGUGUUAUAGCAGUUGCAAUAUUUUAAUCAUGCAAAAUAUUUUUCUUACUUGGUGAUUCAUCCCUAAUUCCUGGGUAGAGAAAUGAAGCUAAAUCAUAGGCUUUUUAUGACCAGGGAGGUGAGGGUACUGGUCUGUCAUUAUCAUUAAAUCAUAGGGAUUGUUAGACAGUGUUUAGCAAUGAAAAAAUGAUCAAAAGGACCUCUAUGUUUAAAAGUAUUAGUCAUUUCAAAACUAAAGAAAGUGAACCUAAGCAAUGAGCAUGCAUCCAUUAUAAAGCUAUUUUAAAAAAGGAGGACCUAUAUUAAAUAUAAAAUUGUUAGUAGGAUCAUCUGUCUCAGCUCUCAUAAAGCUCAUCAUCAAUAAAUUGCAGCAUAACAUAAAGGAAAAAGAAACAUGCCUGUAUCUGGUGAAAGUCACUGUGUAGAACUUCUGGAGAAAACCCUGAAUUUGCUUUUUUACCAAAGUAUCUAAAACCUGGAAAACUAGAAAGUUGAGAUGCUCUAUUUAGUCAGACCAGAAAUUAUCCUUUACAUAUAUAAUCUGGAUAGAAUGUGGUAGUUAGCUAAUCCUAAAUUAAGUCCUUUGUUUUUAUUUGUUGCAAAAAGCAUAGAUUCUAAUAAACACAGUGUUACAUCACCACACUUCAAAGCCUUCUGUAAACCAAGCAACUCAUAGCAACAUCUCUGCCUUCAGCAAUCACACUGCAGUAAAUCAUCCAAGUGACCUUAUUUGCUUAUUAGAAACUCUGUGUACAGGUUGCAAAUGUCAGAGUAUGAAUUUACAUUUUAAAAAGUGCAUCUUGCAGUGGUUUAAUGAAAAUAUUUCAACUAUCUCAGGUCAAAUUCAACUAUUUAUACCUCUGCUCUCUUGGGUUUAAAGAUUUAGUCCUAGAUUCACAUAUUCUUCACAAGCCAUACCUCAUGAACACUCCUCUUAACGUCACAACAUUGUAACAGUUUGAAAUGCCAUUUGGAAAGGGGGCUGUUACUACACUAUCAUUUCCACUCCCACCUCAAAAGUAUGCUGAUAAAUAAUUUAAACAUUUGAUUCUUGUGUUGUUUAUGGUCUCAGAAUGAUAUUUAUCUGUAUAUACCAACACAAACACUUUAUAAAUAAGCUGGGGGGGGUUAAAAUUUCUAUUGUAUAUCAUGUAUUAACUUAAACUGAUGUAAUACAUCAGUUUAACUCUGAAAAUAGAACCAUGACACAUUCAUAUUCUACUCUAGAAUACAGAAAAAAAAAUCACAAUAAUUGAACUUCACAUGUAAGUUUUGCUUUAAAAUUAUUUUUCUUCUUGUGGAAGAUGGCAAACAAGAUCACCAAGAAGAAUUUCUGGGGAAGAAUUUGUCAGAGGUUAUGGCAGGGCAGUGAGAAAAGUGAGUUGAUUAGAAAGAAACCUGCCUGGGCCACAAGUCUGUAUGUAAUUUUCUUAUUCUACUUAUAUUCCCAGAAGUAUUUUCAAAAUUAUUUUGAACAUUACAGAAAUAAAUCAUCAAUAAUACCACCAUUGCUACCACCCCCAACCACAUGUACAUACUCCAGGAACAGAAAGAGGCACCAGGGUGUAACAGAAAGAAUAUGGGCUAUGGAAAACACUGCUUAACCUUUACCUGCCAUGGGCUGGAGGGAAGGCUUCAGUUAAUUAAAGGCCUCAGUCUCUACAACGUGCCUUAUAGUGUGGCCCAAAAUACAGUCACAAGUUGCUUUGUGCACUUCACUUUAUUGUGCUUUGCAGAUACUGUGUUUUUUUCAAAUUGAAAGUUUGUGGAAACCCUGGCUGGGCAACUCUGUCGGUGCCAUUUUUCUAACAGUAUAUGCUCACUGCAUGUCUCCGCAUCACAUUUUGGUAAUUAUCGCAACGUUUCAAACUUUUUCAUUAUUACUAUACUAUAUUAAACUGAAUACUUUAUAAAAAUGAUUAGCAAAUAGAAGGCCCACAAAAGAGGGGCCCUAAUACUCACAUUCUCCCCACAUCAUUUAAAAUGUGGUAUAAUCAUUUGUAUUGUUCAAAUGCAUUAGAAAGAGCACUCUGGUCUUGGGAACAGAGUAUUCUUUCUGAUUUAAUGCCAACUUGAUAAUGUUCUAGGUGAAGAAAUGCCACUAAAGAAAUAUAAUAAUGAUUCUGAUGAUAUAAAAGGCAUUAUGUUUCUUUCUUUACAGCUAAACAAUGUGAAAACUUAAGUGAAUAUAAUACAUCAGGAAAAUGUAUUUUAUCUUUCUAAGCAUGAAAUAUGAAACCUGCCUAUUUAUUAAGUACAUGUAGGUCUCAGCAUUACCCACAUUUCUAUCUAUUGCAUUAAAGAAUAUUGGUGAUUAUUACACUGAAGAUUAGCAGCUAAAAAGACAAAUGUGAGAGUAUACAGGCAAAAGGUUUUUGUUGUCGUUUUGUUUCUUGAUUUUUUUCCUAGAAUAUGGCUGUAGAUUCUACUGCAGAAACAAUUAUAAGAUGUCCUUUGGUAGUCACCAUGAAGGCCACAUUCAAAGCUUUAUUGAUACAAAUCAGUCUUGCCUCUCAGUUUUCCAAACGUAUUCUCUUAUUUUGAAGAGAUAGUUAAAAGCAUCCUUAGUGUUUCUUCUACCUUGCCUGGCAUUACCUCCAAAACAGCUCCCCUUCCAACAGUUUUUGGGAUGGCAGUCACCAUCUAUUCUCCACAGGUUUGAGUGAAAAUUGAUGUCUUGCUAUUUGAUAUACAAGAUCUACAGGUUCAAAAAAAUUGAACCUGUUCAAAAAUUCAGACAUGUUACCUAUAGCAGGGUUAUAUUUCCUAGGGACAGAGGAAGUUUAAGUGGCUUCUUUAGAAAAGUUAAAUUUAUUCUGGCACCAAAUCCUGCUUCCCAGGGAAUUAAAAAUUUGAUGAAUUUUAUUACUUGAUUAACACAUGCAAUCUUGCCAUGGUAGACUCUUCACAGUAAAAAUCUGUAUUCAAUUCACUUGCUCAGUAGUUAGAAAUACCAAUGGCAUAGAAUAUUUUGCUAAAGACAGAAAAUAUACCAUUGAAAUCCUAAUUUUUAAUAUUUUGUAUAUCUGAAUUCAUUCUAUAAUAUUGAACUACACUGUAGGUUAAAAGUACAAGAAUAAAGUCAGAAAGAUAAAAGGCCAAAAUGAGACAAAAAAUGCAAGGGAGAAGAAAAAGGACUCUUAAAGCUAAGCUUGGAACAACAAAAAGUUAAAAGAAGAGAUCCAUUUGCUGGUUAUGGGAGAUGCUACAAUCCUAACAGAUUAAUAACAGAGAAUUGUCCUGUAAUAUUCUUUUAUCUUUUCUAAUAGGUUAGAGGGUCAAAGUUAAUAUUGUACUUUUCCAAGUUUAAUGUUAAAUUUGGGAUUUUAGGUUGAAAUUAUUAACUGAAUAAAUAAAGAAAAAGGAAGAUAUGACACAAUACUAGGAUACAAAAGAAAAACCCAAGAUUUUUGUUUGGAUGGAAAUACAAUGUGAAAGGAAAAUGUGAUGGCUGCCAGGAAAGCUAAUGCAACUUUAACUCCAUGAAUAAGAGAGCAGCAUCAAAAUAAAGGAAGGUAAUGGGGCUCUGUAUGUCAUACUUGCCAGACCGUAUCUAGAAUACUCUGCUGUUAGUGUAGGAGGAAUGUGAACAAUGCUGGGUGCAUUUUAAUAAGGGAGAUGCAAUGGUAAGAGGUCUGGAAAGUAUCAUGAGAAUCGAUUUAAGAAACUAGCCAUAUCUGGUCUGGAAGAGGAAAAAGCAGGGAGAGGUGGUAAUCUAAGAAGCAUGUUAAAUGCCUUUCUGAUUUGAAUAGCUGGCACAUAGAACAGGUGUUAGCCUCAGAGUACAGAACUAAUGCGUUGAUUUUAAGAUAACAUUUUUAUUUAUUAAAAAACAAUACUGUUUAUCUUGUGAAACAGUGAUAUUCUUAGCACUGCAAAGUAUUCGAAUAACAGGUGAUUAUUUGUAAGAAAUUUCUAGAUGGGACUUCUGCACUGAACUGGGAGGGUGGAGCAGAGUACCUCACAAAAGGAAGAUGUUGUGAUUUCAGUCUCAGAGUUAUGGCUGGUGUUAUUAAAAUAUACUUAAUUAGAAGGUGCGUUGUAAAUUAUGUUGGAAAUGCUCUCCUGCUCCCUUCCUGCCCCCCCCAAAUUUAAAAUAUAUAAAGUAAAAAACAUGAUACAAUUCUCCCAUUACCUAUUUAGACCAUUACAUCUUCAAUACUUUGUGAGUAUUCAAAGAGAAUUAUUAAAAUGCAAAUAUUCUCAGAAAAAGCAAUAAUGUAUGUGAAUUUACUACUUGUUAACAGAAAGACAUGGAAGAGAUGGGUGGUAAGAAUAAUUAAAGUCCAAGUGGGCACAAAUCUGUAACAGGCAAAAUGUGGGAAAUAGGUCAACAAUAUUUCUUCAUGGUUCUCUUGGAGACCAAUUAGAUGACUGAGGAUUCAACUAUAAUUUCUAUAAAGAGACGACUCAGUUUUCCAAUGUCUGUAUCAUUGCAACUUAUAACUAGUAUAGCUUCCAGAAGAGGUGACUAAUGUAAAAACAUUGAGUAUUUAUUUAUUAAAAUAGAAAAUUUUCAUGUAAAAAUUACCUAUAGACAUUUAAGCAGAUAACUAAAUUUCAGAAGACCCAAUUUGUGUCAAGAUUUUCAAAACCGAACCAGGCUUUCAUAUACAGUGUAAUUCUGUGUCAGUAUAUAUAAACUAACAUUUGGGGGUCUUGCUGACUUAUGGGGGUCACAGUAAUACACUAUGCUAUAUAAUAUAUAUAAUACAUAUAUUAUUAUGUAUGCUUUCAUAAUAUUCAAUAUUUGUUAAAGUUAAUAUAUUAAUAUAUUUUAGAUAGAUCCUUAUAGCUUGACCCAGGAUUUUUCUCCUAAAUAUCAUCAUGGAAAAUUCUAUACAUUUCCAUUUGUUGACAAUGAUAAAAUGAUUUUUUAAUUUAAAUUUAAAAUUGUUAUGGGUAUAUAGUAGGUAUAUAUGUUUAUGGGGUACCUGAGAUAUUUUGAUACAGGAUACAAUAUGUAAUAAUCACAUCAGGGUAAAUAGAGUAUCCAUCAUCUCAAGCAUUUAUCCUUUUUUUGUGUUACAAACAUUCCUAUUACACUUUUAGUUAUUUUAAAAUGUAGAAUAAAUUACUGUUGACUGCAGUCACCCUGUUGUGCUAUCAAAUAUUAGGUCUUAUUCAUUCUAUCAAACUAUGCUUUUGUAGCCAUUAAGCAUUCCAUUUCCCUCUCACUACCCCACUACCCUUCUCCAGCCUCUGGUAACCAUCCUUCUACUCUCUUAUCUCCAUGAGAUCAACUGUUUUAAUUUUUAGCUUCCAUAAAUGAGUGAAAACAUGCAAAGUUAGUUUUUCUAUUCCUGGCUUAUUUCACUGAACAUAAUGACCUCCAGUUCCAUCCAUAUUGUUGCAAAUAACAAGAUCUCAUUCCUUUUAUGGCUGAAUAGUAUUCCGUUGUGUAUAUGUACUAUAUUUUCUUUGUUCAUUCGUGUACUGAUGGACACUUAGGCUGAUUCCAAAUCUUGGCUAUAGUGAACAGUGCUACAAUAAAAGAGGAGCGCAAAUAUCUGCUCCAUAUACUGAUUUCUUUACUUUUGGGUGUAUACCUAGCAGUGGGAUUGCUGGAUCAUAUGGUAGUUAUAUUUUUAGCUUUUCUGAGUAAUCUCCAUACUGUUCUCCAUACUGGCUGUACUGAUUGACAACCCCACCAACAGUGUAUGAGGGUUCUACUUGCUCCACAUCCUCACCAGGAUCGUUACUGCCUGUCUUUUGGAAAAAAGUUAUUUUAACUGGGGUGAGAUUUCUCAUUGUAGGUUUGAUUUGCAUUUCUUUUACAAUCAGUGAUGCUGAGCACCUUUCCAUACACCUGUUUGUCAUUUGUAUGUCUUCUUGAGAUGUAUAUUCAGAUCUUCUGCCCAUUUUUAAAUAAGAUUAUUAAAUUUUUUCCUAUUGUUUGAGCUCCUUAUGUAUUCUAGUUAUUAAUCCUUUGCCAGAUGGACAGUUUGCAAAUAUUUUUCCCAUAAUGUGGAUUGUCUCUUCCCUGUUUCCUUUGUUGUGCAGAAGCUUUUUAACUUGCUCUCAUCUCAUUUGUACAUUUUUGCUUUGAUUGCCUAUGCUUAGUUUAGGCAUAAACUAUGUCUAAGAUUUCAGUCUUUAAUCCACUUUGAUUUGUUUUUUGUAUAUAAUGAGAGAUAGGGAUCUAGCUUCAUUUUUCCACAUAAGGAUAUCCAGUUUUCCCAGCACCGUCUAUUGAAGAAACUGUCCUUUCCCCAUUGUAUGUUCUUGGCACCUUUGUUGAAAAUGAGUUCACUGUAGAUACAUGGAUUGAUUUCUGGUUUUAUAUUCUGUUCUACUGGUAUUUGUGUCUGUUUUUAUGGCAUUACCAUGCUGUUUUGGUCACUAUAGCUCUGUAGUAUAAUUUGAAGUCAGGUAAUGUGAUUGUUCCAGUUUUGUUCUUUUUGUGCAACAUGUCUUUUGCUAUUCUGGGUCUUUUAUGAUUUCAAGUAAAUUUUAGGAUUGUUUUUCCAUUUAUUUGACAAAUAUCAUUGGUAUUUUGAUAGGGAUUCUUAAUUUCGUUCUUGACCUAGCCUUGGAUUGGUAUGGUCAUUGGUAUACGGCCAUUCAGGAAUAUAUUGUUCUAUUUGAAUGUGUUUGUAUAGUUUCUAAAAUUCUUCUUGUUAUUAAUUUAUGGUUUUAUUCCAUUUUGGUCAGAGAAGAUGCUUGAUAUUAUUUCAAUAUUUUUGAAUAUUUUAGGAUUUCCUUUGUGGCCUAACAUAUGGUCUAUUUUUAAGAAUGUUCCAUCAAUACCUAAUUUAUUGAGAGUUUGUAGCAUGAAGGGCUGUUGAAUUUUGUCAAAGGCCUUUUCUUCAUCUAUUGAGAUAAUCAUGUGGUUUUUGUCAUUGGUUCUGUUUAUAUGCUGGAUUACAUUUAGUGAUUUGCAUAUGUUGAACCAGCCUUGCAUCCCAGGGAUGAAGCCCACUUGAUCAUGGUGGAUAAGCGUUUUGAUGUGCUGCUGGAUUCGGUUUGCCAGUAUUUUAUUGAGGAUUUUUGCAUCAACGUUCAUCAGGGAUAUUGGUCUAAAAUUCUCUUUUAUUUGUUGUGUCUCUGUGAGGCUUUGGUAUCAGGAUGAUGCUGGCCUCAUAAAAUGAGUUAGGGAGGAUUCCCUCUUUUGUUAUUGAUUGGAAUAGUUUCAGAAUGAAUGGUACCAGCUUGUCCUUGUACCUCUGGUAGAAUUCGGCUGUGAAUCCAUCUGGUCCUGGACUUUUUUUGGUUGGUAAGCUAUUAAUUAUUGCCUCAAUUUCAGAGCCUGUUAUUGGUCUAUUCAGAGAUUCAACUUCUUCCUGGUUUAGUCUUGGGAGAGUGUAUGUGUCGAGGAAUUUAUCCAUUUCUUCUAGAUUUUCUGGAUUAUUUGCGCAGAGGUGUUUCUAGUAUUCUCUGAUGGUAGUUUGUAUUUCUGGGGGUUGGUGGUGAUAUCCCCUUUAUCAUUUUUUAUUGCAUCUACUUGAUUCUUCUCUCUUUUCUUCUUUAUUAGUCUUCCUAGCGGUCUAUCAAUUUUGUUGAUCUUUUCAAAAAACCAGCUCAUGGAUUCAUUGAUUUUUUGAAGGGUUUUUUAUGUCUCUAAUUCCUUCAGUUCAGCUCUGAUCAUAGUUAUUUCUUGCCUUCUGCUAGCUUUUGAAUGUGUUUGCUCUUGCUUCUCUAGUUCUUUUAAUUGUGAUGUUAGGGUGUCAAUUUUAGAUCUUUCCUGCUUUAUCUUGUGGGCAUUCAGUGCUAUAAAUUUCCAUCUACACACUGCUUUGAAUGUGUCCCACAGAUUCUGGUAUGUUGUGUCUUUGUUUACGACAAACCCACAGCCAAUAUCAUACUGAAUGGGCAAAAACUAGAAGCAUUCCCUUUGAAAAGUGGUACAAGACAGGGAUGCCCUCUCUCACCACUCCUAUUCAACAUAGUGUUGGAAGUUCUGGCCAGGGCAAUCAGGCAGGAGAAAGAAAUAAAGGGUAAUCAAUUAGGAAAAGAGGAAGUCAAAUUGUCCCUGUUUGCAGAUGACAUGAUUGUAUAUCUAGAAAACCCCAUUGUCUCAGCCCAAAAUCUCCUGAAGCUGAUAAGCAACUUCAGCAAAGUCUCAGGAUGCAAAAUCAUGUGCAAAAAUCACAAGCAUUCUUAUACAACAAUAACAGACAAACAGAGAGCCAAAUCAUGAGUGAACUCCCAUUCACAAUUGC